ACGACGAAUACGAUGACGUCAAGAAGUUACACGCGUCGAUGUCGUUGUACGCCACGACAUCGAAACCGACGCCCUCAUCCCAAGAUCGAGAUAUGGGAGCGACGAAGAGAGUGAAACCGCUCGGUGUCGGUUGCCCCGAAUACACGUCAGUCAGUGACAUGUAGCACUUGAAGCUCGAAUGCGAUGGGAUCAGUGUCGAUCCUGUCAGCAUUCUGAGCGGAUCCAAGUCGAACUUGACGAGCGCACGUGUCAGUUCGAUCAGGUCGUUGCUGCCGCUCGUGUUGACACCAUAGAGCUUGAACAGGUCGAGUGUGCCUGCUGCUCCAGUGUUAGCACGUGUGCGACGGGUGCCACGUACGAUUUUGUCGGUCAGAUACGCGUCUUUAGUGGCUCUGAGCGGGCUGGCAAGGCGCAU
Molecule: ribosomal RNA, 415 nt
Filed under: uncultured bacterium
Lineage: Bacteria
Description: partial 16S ribosomal RNA
Source: RNAcentral